AUUGAACGCUGGCGGCAGGCCUAACACAUGCAAGUCGAGCGGAUGAAGGGAGCUUGCUCCUGGAUUCAGCGGCGGACGGGUGAGUAAUGCCUAGGAAUCUGCCUGGUAGUGGGGGAUAACGUCCGGAAACGGGCGCUAAUACCGCAUACGUCCUGAGGGAGAAAGUGGGGGAUCUUCGGACCUCACGCUAUCAGAUGAGCCUAGGUCGGAUUAGCUAGUUGGUGGGGUAAAGGCCUACCAAGGCGACGAUCCGUAACUGGUCUGAGAGGAGGAUCAGUCACACUGGAACGGAGACACGGUCCAGACUCCUACGGGAGGCAGCAGUGGGGAAUAUUGGACAAUGGGCGAAAGCCUGAUCCAGCCAUGCCGCGUGUGUGAAGAAGGUCUUCGGAUUGUAAAGCACGUUAAGUUGGGAGGAAGGGCAGUAAGUUAAUACCUUGCUGUUUUGACGUUACCAACAGAAUAAGCACCGGCUAACUUCGUG
This 484-nucleotide ribosomal RNA is filed under the name uncultured bacterium. Its description in RNAcentral is "partial 16S ribosomal RNA". It matches the Rfam family "Bacterial small subunit ribosomal RNA", at positions 30 to 507 of the family's 1533-position model. The record is from RNAcentral.